GACGAACGCUGGCGGCGUGCUUAACACAUGCAAGUCGAACGGUAAGCCAGUGAGCUUGUGCCCUCCGGGACUGGGGCAAGCGGGUGAAUAACGCGUGUAACCUCUCCUCCACUUUCGGGGAUAAUCAGGUAAAUGGACGUAUAAUACCAUAGACGACCCGGCAGGGCGGCCGGUCCUGGAUAGUUUAACCGGGUGGGGAUGGAUGCGCGGCUCAUAAGCUCGUUGGUGGGGUAGCGGCUGACCCAGGCGUGGCCGGGUAGCCGGCCUGAGAGGGUGACCGGCCACAAUGGGACUGAGAGACGGCCCAGACUCCUACGGGAGGCAGCAGUGGGGAAUAUUGCACAAUGGGCGGAAGCCUGAUGCAGCAACGCCGCGUGCGGGAUGACGGCCUUCGGGUUGUAAACCGCUUUCGGCUGUGACGAAGCGAGAGUGACGGUACCGGAAGAAGAAGCACCGGCUAACUACGUG
This 468-nucleotide ribosomal RNA is filed under the name uncultured bacterium. RNAcentral's name for it is "partial 16S ribosomal RNA". It matches the Rfam family "Bacterial small subunit ribosomal RNA", at positions 28 to 507 of the family's 1533-position model. The record is from RNAcentral.